Molecule: ribosomal RNA, 481 nt
Filed under: uncultured bacterium
Lineage: Bacteria
Description: SSU rRNA
Rfam family: Bacterial small subunit ribosomal RNA
Source: RNAcentral
AGAAUCAACGCUGGCGGCGUGCCUAACACAUGCAAGUCGAGCGAGAAAGUGGAGCAAUCCAUGAGUAAAGUGGCGACCGGGUGAGUAACACGUGACUAACCUACCCUAGAGUGGGGAAUAACCUCGGGAAACCGGGGCUAAUACCGCAUAACAUCGCAGAGGGAAGCUCUUUGCGAUCAAAGGAGCAAUUCGCUCAAGGAGGGGGGUCGCGGCUGAUUAGUUAGUUGGUGAGGUAACGGCUCACCAAGACUUAGAUCAGUAUCCGGCCUGAGAGGGCGCACGGACACACUGGAACUGAAACACGGUCCAGACUCCUACGGGAGGCAGCAGUGGGGAAUUUUGCGCAAUGGGGGAAACCCUGACGCAGCAACGCCGCGUGGAGGAUGAAGUCCCUUGGGAUGUAAACUCCUUUCGAUCGGGACGAUUAUGACGGUACCGGAAGAAGAAGCACCGGCUAACUCUGCGCCAGCAGCCGCGGUAA